This 324-nucleotide ribosomal RNA is filed under the name uncultured Eurychasmataceae. Its description in RNAcentral is "partial large subunit ribosomal RNA". It matches the Rfam family "Eukaryotic large subunit ribosomal RNA", at positions 40 to 358 of the family's 3401-position model. The record is from RNAcentral. Lineage: Eukaryota; Oomycota; Myzocytiopsidales; Eurychasmataceae.
AUAUAACUAAGCGGAGGAAAAGAAACUAACAAGGAUUCCCCUAGUAACGGCGAGUGAAGCGGGAAGAGCUCAAACUUAAAAUCUCUAUAUUUUAAAUAUAGCGAAUUGUAGUCUAUUGAAGUGUGAUCAGUGAGAUUCUUCAGGCUAAGUCCCUUGGAAGAGGGCAGCAAAGAGGGUGAUACUCCCGUCUUUGUCUGUUGAAACUUUGCGUACGAUCCAUUUUCAACGAGUCGAGUUGCUUGGGAAUGCAGCUCUAAGUGGGUGGUAAAUUCCAUCUAAAGCUAAAUAUAUGUGCUAGACCGAUAGCGAACAAGUACCGUGAGG